This 497-nucleotide ribosomal RNA is filed under the name uncultured bacterium. RNAcentral's name for it is "partial 16S ribosomal RNA". It matches the Rfam family "Bacterial small subunit ribosomal RNA", at positions 28 to 507 of the family's 1533-position model. The record is from RNAcentral.
GAUGAACGCUGGCGGCGUGCCUAAUACAUGCAAGUCGAGCGAACGGACGAGAAGCUUGCUUCUCUGAUGUUAGCGGCGGACGGGUGAGUAACACGUGGAUAACCUACCUAUAAGACUGGGAUAACUUCGGGAAACCGGAGCUAAUACCGGAUGAUAUUUUGAACCGCAUGGUUCAAAAGUGAAAGACGGUCUUGCUGUCACUUAUAGAUGGAUCCGCGCUGCAUUAGCUAGUUGGUAAGGUAACGGCUUACCAAGGCAACGAUGCAUAGCCGACCUGAGAGGGUGAUCGGCCACACUGGAACUGAGACACGGUCCAGACUCCUACGGGAGGCAGCAGUAGGGAAUCUUCCGCAAUGGGCGAAAGCCUGACGGAGCAACGCCGCGUGAGUGAUGAAGGUCUUCGGAUCGUAAAACUCUGUUGUUAGGGAAGAACAUAUGUGUAAGUAACUGUGAACAUCUUGACGGUACCUAAUCAGAAAGCCACGGCUAACCACGUG